RNAcentral lists this ribosomal RNA (268 nucleotides) under uncultured bacterium. RNAcentral's name for it is "partial 16S ribosomal RNA". It matches the Rfam family "Bacterial small subunit ribosomal RNA", at positions 88 to 354 of the family's 1533-position model. The record is from RNAcentral.
AUGGCGACCGGCGCACGGGUGAGUAACGCGUAUCCAACCUGCCCUUUACUAUGGGACAGCCCGUCGAAGGGCGGAUUAAUACCGUAUGUUGUCAUGUUGAUGCAUAUUUUCAUGACCAAAGGCUUCGGCCGGUAAAGGAUGGGGAUGCGUCUGAUUAGCUUGCCGGCGGGGUAACGGCCCACCGGGGCGACGAUCAGUAGGGGUUCUGAGAGGAAGGUCCCCCACAUUGGAACUGAGACACGGUCCAAACUCCUACGGGAGGCAGCAG